AGUGACGGGACCGGCAGCAAUGCCGGUUUAAACAGCUAAAGCAGGUCCGAAGCCCUG
Molecule: non-coding RNA, 57 nt
Filed under: unclassified sequences
Source: RNAcentral